UAGCUACCUUGGUGACCAAGUUAAGCCAACUUGGUUUCCAAGUUUAGCUAACUUGGUGACCAAGUUUAAUUCUCUAUAAAUACCACCAUGAUCUCUCCAUAAUCGCACAUCUCAUUCUAUCUUAUACAUAACUAUCUCAUAUUCAUCUCUCUCACUACACACGUAAACCAAGCUUUCUCUCACUAGAGUGUCUCGAGAGUAUAUCGUAGUAGUUAGUUCGUAGAAUCUGUUUCGGGUGUUGCGAAACGGUCUCAUCACGGUUGUAUCCUGGAAUUCAAAAAUCACAUAAAACUGUCACACAUUACGGGCGAUUUAUUGAGUUAAGGAAAGAGAUCAAAUCUCGACUUCGUGAAUUCGUCUAUUUCCUUACGAUUUCUUAAACGUUGUAAGUCUUUAUAUUAUCGUUUAUAUGCUUUUUUGUUUUGUAAUUUUCAAUCAGGAUUUUCUUGGUCCUACAAUCUUAACUCAAUAAAUCCGCUUCCAGCUUGUCGCUUGAAUCGGAUUGAAUAUUGCAAACAAUAUUUUAAAACGAUUUUAUAAAAUAGUUUUACAAAAACGUUUUUUAAUUCGAUCUGAAACAGUUCUAAACACGCUAUUUAGCUAUUCUUUAGAACGUUUUGGAAUAAAAAGACGAAUCAUAUUUAUAAAAUGAUUUACGCGACAUUCUUUGAAAGGCUCGCGAUCUCUUUUUCUAAAGAAAAAUAGUAUUUGAGAAGGCCUUUUGGAAAAUUCUGAAAAACGACUAUUAAAAAGUUAAGAACGUUUUUUUGCGAUUCUGAGAACAAAUAUUAAAAGUUCAAGAACGCUUUUGUGCGAUUCUGAGAACAAGUAUUAAAAGUUCAAGAACGCUGUUAUGCGAUUCUUAGGUCACAUAUUAAACGUUUAAGAACACUUUAAAGCGAUUAUGAGGACGAAUAUUAAAAGUUCAGGAACGUUUUUUAGCGAUUCCAAGAAUGAUUAUUAUCGUUUAAGAACGCUUUACACGACUUCUGAGAAUGCUUAUUUGAAUUGAGUUCUCAAUAACUACUACCAUUUGUAUUUUGUGAACAUAUUCAAUAAUGACUAUUGAUGUCAAUGACUUCAAGUCAAUAAAUGGGUUAAGUUUAAACUCAUAAGAUAAGUCUUGUAAAAUUUGGAUAAAUCUUAAAAGAUUGAGUUUAAUAUAAUUUUGAAUAAAUCUUUGAAGAUUAAAUUCUUAAUAUUUUUUGGAUAAAUAUUAUAAGACAAAGCUUUUUAAUACCUUUGGAUAAAUCUAAAUUUAAUGAUUGAGUCCAAAUAACUACAAUGGAUAAAUCCAAAUAUAAAGAUUGUGUCCAUAUAGAUAAAUCUAUAUAUAAAGAUUGUGUCUAAAUAAUUAUAAAAUAUUUAUUUUUGAAUAAAUCAAAUCUAUAUUUAGAUUGUGUUCAAAUAUUUUCUUUUGAAUAAAUCUAAAUUUUAAGAUGAAAGAUUGUGUUCAAAUAAUCAUGAAAUAUUUUAUUAUACGAAUAUAACCAGUGAGACGACAAACCUAUUGGGAAUGGUCAUCCACUUGGAUCGUCUUCAUGUGAAGAUUUGUCUACGCCUAGUAAAACCACUAUAUAAGCCUAUAGUGAGUUGAAUACUUUCAUGGAACUUUGAGUUUCCUUAUGGACAAAUCAAGGCAUAGAACAUACGCUCAAAGAGUUUUGCAAUGACAAAAUUUCUUUUGAUGAAUUAUAUGUUUAUCAUAUAUUAGUCAAAGAGCUGUGAUUCUUUAUGCAUGAGAGAACAACUGCAUGUAUAUUAAUUAAUUUGAUAUACUAGGUCUAUAGAUAAAUUGGAAAUUUUCAGUAAAAUCUAUCUCUCACAAGCAAAGGUUACGAGCUAUAAAAAUUGACUUUCAAGUAAGUCAAAUAUGCAAAUCACAAAACAUAUGAUAUUCACAUUUGUGAACAUAAAACAAAAGUGAUUGAGCAAAAGAACUAAGAAAGCCUAAUGUUCAUAUGAAAUUAUACAUUAAUUUUAGAAAGCAACUUGCUUAAAAGAAGUUCAAUAGAUAAUUUCAAAAAGCUGACACACAUCGUAGCAAGGAUGGCUAAUGUUGUAGCAAUAUUGGUUUACAUAGAGAAGAAGUGAAAUCUCAAACCAAUUUGAUAAAAACUGACACAUGAAGUGUAGUUUUGCGUCAAUGUUCCAUAAUAUAAUGGAAGAUAUAUGGCAACUUAAAUGAGAAUAAAUGUGUUCUUAAGAGAAUUAACAUUAUUCCUCAUAAUAAUUGCUUCUUAUUCAUUAGAAUCCAAUGAAAUUGCGGAACAAAAGUUCUAAACUCAUAACAGAUGAAUGCAAGCAUGCAUGAUCCUGAAUUAACUCAGGAAAUGUGGGGAAGUGUUGCUUACCACAUUCAAACAUUGGCAAAAAGCCAUGUACUUUGAAAAGGUAAUGUAAGUUAAUACAAAUACUUCAAAAUGUGGGCGUGCUUAGCAAAAUCCAUAACAAGGGUGUUAAAUUAUUUGCCAUACACCCUAAGUUAUGGGCUGUUCUAAGGUAAAAAAACCAAGAGUUUUAGAAAGAUACAAUGAUGCAUACUGGAUAUCUGAAUCUAAGAACUCGAAAUCCAUGAGUGGAGAUGUUUUUACACUUGGAGAUAAAACAAUAUCUUGGAAAUCUUCCAAAUAUGACCAGAUUCACAAUGUAAUCUGUGUUCGUUGCUUUAAACAAAUAAGUUGAAGAAGCAGAUUGAUUUCGUAAAUUUUAGAAGAUAUUACAAUGUCGGAGAAACCAUUUCAGCUAUACGCUUAGUCAAUUGGCGGAACUGGAUAUUCUUUAUAAUGGUAAGUCGCAUCACAUAAGACGACAUAAAACCAUUAGAAACUAUGAUCUCAAAACGUCAGCUGACAACCUUGUGGAUUAUUUACCAAAGGUUUAACAUGAGAUUAAGUAUCAAAAUCAUUAAAAGGGAUGGGAUUAUUACCUAUAAUUAAAGGAUGUUUGAUGGAAACCCUACCAGCGGGACUGGAGAUCCCAAGAAGUUGGUUCAAAGGGACAACUAAAUCAAACAAAAUCUGUUAAAGCGCUGAAACCUACCCAUAUCUCAAGAUGAUAACAAUGCUCCUGUAAAUUUAAGGUUAAGCAUUGGCUUUUAAUGAAAUAAGACCAUGACCUUCAUACACAUGUAUAUAAAGUAUUACAUGAUAUUUUAUUGUGUAUAUGAUAGGCGCCCAUGGCAAUCACCUAAUGAGUGUGAAAUGAUACCGUUUCUAGGAGAACAAAGUUAAGGCUAUACUCUCCAAGUUCACUCAUGACUAACCAGACAAGUUCACAGCCAAAAUGAACACAAUAGAGAACUUAACUCUACAAGAAAUCGCAGUUAUGUUAUAUCUGCUGACUCGGUUUACAUAAAAUUUCGGGGGGUUCAAGACAUCAUGUUCACCACCUGAAAAGUAAUUCUGACAGGUAUUAACAAUGAGUAGUUCAAAGCUGGAAAAUGCUACUACAUCAUAUACUGUUAGUUUUUCGCCUAUACUCUCGAAAAGUCCGUUUGUCAAGUCUAGUGUUAGGUCUAGUUGUAGAGUGAGUCUUAGUCUAUCUACUCUAUUAUUUAGAGUAAAUUUUUAUUCAUGUGGGGGAUGGUUGGACCAAUUAUUAUAAGCCCAAAGGGUUGAGUAAUAAAUGUGUUGUGUGAAUAGAAAAUCUUUUGCAAGCCCUAUGGGAUGAGUAAAAGAUUGAUUUUAUGUGAAUGAUUAUGGGAAUUAUUGGACUCAUUUUGCAAGCCCAAUGGGCUGAGUAAAUUUAAUGGGUUAAGGUUUUGAAUAUCUUAAAAAAAAAAGGAGUCAUCUUGGUGGCUAAAUUUAGCCACCUUCGUGACCAAGUGAAGCCAACUUGGUUUCCAAGUUUAGCUAACUUGGUGACCAAGUUUAUUUCUCUAUAAAUACCACCAUGAUCUCUCCAUAAUCUCACAUCUCAUUCUAUCUUAUACACAACUAUCUCAUAUUCAUCUCUCUCACUACACACAUAAACCAAGCUUUCUCUCACUAGAAAAAAAUACUCUAGAUUUUGUUUUUAGAGUAAGUGUGUCGAGAGUAUAUCGUAGUAGUUAGUUCGUAGAUUCUGUUUCGGGUGUUGCAAAACGGUCUAAUCACGGUUGUAUCAUGAGAUUCAAAAAUCGCAUAAAACCGUCACACAUUACGGGCGAUUUAUUGAGUUAAGGAAUGAUAUCAAAUCUCGACUCCGUGAAUUCGUCUAUUUCCUUACGAUUUCUUAAACAUUGUAAGUCUUUAUAUUAUCAUUUAUAUGCUUUUUGUUUCGUAAUUUUCAAUCACGGUUUUUGCGGUCCUACGCAAAGGACUAUAAAUUAUCAGAACAUCAAACUAAAUAUGAACGUUUGAUGACAAAGAGGAUGAUGAUCAAGGUUGGAAAAUAGAGUUCAAAACUAUAUACAUAUUACAAAAACAUAUGUUUGGUAGAUUUUGUCGUUAAUUCAUAGUAGUAGAGAAGUUAAGAUACAUUAAUGAUGAAUAUCUUCUUAAGCCUAUUUUGUAAUACUAGUCGUCAUAAAAUCAUCCUAAAAUUUUCAAGGUCAAAAAUCGUCGUAAAUAAAUUUCCGCAAAUAAAUUUAUUGUAUCUUUGACGUAACUCUUAUGAAGAAAGUAAUCGUCGUUACAUCUUUGUAAAAUUGUUGAUGGUAAAUUACCACUAAUCGUCAAUGAUAAAUUAUCGUCAAAAUGGUCUUUAACAUAAUUAAAUUAUCAUCGAAAUGGUCUUUAACAUAGUUAAAUGAUCGUUAAAUGAACAACUAUUUAAAAUCGGAUUCGGAUGUUAUUGAUUGUUAAUUUAACGAUGAUUUAACAUCAAUUUAUAAGAAAUAAUGUUAAUUCAUCAUUUAAUUAACAAUGAAUUAUCAUCGAAUGUUAGAUGUUUGCGAUUGUAAAAUGGUUGUUAUUACAAACUAUAUAAAAUUAGAGGAUAAACCAUAAAUCCAAAACACGAGUUCGACGUUUAAUAAAGAAAACAUUAAUGAGUGAUUCAAUAUGUGACAAUGGUAAACAAAAUGAUUACUCAGAUGAAGAUGUUGACUUUACACUAAUAUCAUAAAGGUUAAAAUAUCAUUACAGGAUAUCAAAUACAAUCUACAAUACUAAAAGCAAGAUAUAGAGAGCAGAGAAGCUGUCCAAGUUGGAUUUUUAAUUCGGUCCAAUCAGGAACAUGUAAUUUGACACGUCAGACGGGCCUCACAGAUCACAAAAAAAAAACCGUCGAAGGAUAAUGAUUAUCCUCACCUCUACCACUUCGUCUUCUCCGAUCGAAGAGCAAAGAAGCCGAGAACCACUUCUACACAAUCAAUACUUUUGUUUCAAUCAAUCAAUACCUUCUACUGAUCUUCUUUCUUUCGUACAAACCAAAACCAUAGAACCACUCAAAGCUCAAUCCAUGGCGAUGAAACCACAAUUACGGACGCUUCUCUCCAAUUCUCACCUGCUCCGAACAGGUACUGUUACAUUAAUAUUUGUUCAGUCUCAGAUUGGUCAGUCUUGUGUAGAUUGGUUUCACCAUAGUGUAUGGCUUUUGAUGAAAUUAUAUCAUGUUCUGCGAUGUUUCUAUGCAGUGAAGUUAUGAUAUUCAUUCGAUUUUGCUCUGUUUUUAUAAUAUGAAAGGCUUGAGCUUUCUAUGUUUUGGUCAUUCAUUACUCAUCUGUGAUUCUUGGUUUCACCAGAGUGUAAGGAUUUUGAUGAGAUCUUAUCAUGUUUUGCUCUGUUUCUAGUGGUGGAAAUUAUGAUAUUUCAUUCCAUUGCUCUGUUUGUUAGAACCUAAAAAACUCGAGCUUUCUUGGUUUUGGUCCAUUCACGUACAAAUCUCCUUUUUUACCUUUUUAUGGCUUUUGCUUUUUGAAUCAGAAAGUGAAAACAUAUAUUUGAGAGAUCUUUGAUAGGUCUUCAUCGAGAAUUAUAUAUUCUGUACAAAAGGUGAGAAUUCUGGAUCAUUUAUCAGUGUCUGACUCAUACACAUUGAUAAUCUUUCAAUCAUAAGAAAAUUAAAAUGGUCACCUAAAGAUAGUGCUACCCAUGAAUGUCAAAGCGUAUUGCAAUCUGUAUUCAGGCUUUUCAUUUAAACUUGGAAGACCAAGUUGCGUCUUAGCCAAUAUAAAGAUAAUGUAACUAAAUGACAAAACGGUCAACCAUCUGUUGUCUAACAGAAAAUAGAGACUUAUUUAGUUAGGUUUUGUUUUAAACAAAAACUUUAGGAGUUUCAUGAAGUUAUUGUUCAUAAAACUGUAUUCUAUGAAAUAUUUGAAAGAAAUGUGUUAUUCUCAUCUAAUAUCAAAUUGGGUGAUCCGAUAAUCUAAAAUUAUUCUCCAUAUAAGUAAUGUGUUUUCUCUUAUUUUUUUCAGCAAAAAGAGCUGUUAAUGUCACCAAAAUUGAUUCGAAUAUGUCGUAUGUGGCGUAUUUUCAAUCAUAAAAAAAAACCAGUAUCUUGGAACAUCGGUCCUUUGUAUUGACAUCAAGGUACGUGAUACUUUUAUUACUUUAUAAAUACAAUAAAAAUGCCACAACAAGAUUCACAACGGUUAUACAAAUAGAGGGAAAAAUCCCGAUGAUGCCUCUUACCACAUUCCAUCCCCUCCGAUACAAACAGUUGAUCGACAUAGCCACUGGUACCAACAACUUGCCAGGUAAACAACCACUUAUUUUGAUCAUUUCUUAAAAAGUAAAAUUUGACAUGAAAGACAAACAUUAUCCCAGAUGUGGUUGGACAAAUAAGAAUGUUUCAAGGUAACGAUUUCAAAAAUCCGAGGGCAACAACGGAGGUCAGACUUGGUCUACUACUAAACAUGUACCGAACUUUUUUUUUUUGAAAAAAAUGUACAUUAAACCCAACCGUUUAUUUAAAAUUUUGCGUAAAGCCAACUUAUAUAUAUUCACACAAUUCCUGCAGGUCAAAAAUGGCCCGCUUGACAAUAAUGGACAAUGUGUCUGCCCAGUUUAGAGACUUACAUAGCAUGACAGUCAUGAAAUACAAAGUUGUAAUCAUUACAAGCAUCAAUCCCACAGUAUUUAAAGGUAAUAAUUAUCAAUUAUUUUAGAGAUAUAUCUAGAUAUUGUUUAGUUAUUAGAAUGCAUAAACUUCCACUUCAACAUGUUUUUUAUAUAUUUAUAUGGAUUUUUGGUUUACUUUGUGGUUCACAAUGGCUUCUCGGUUUGAUAGAACAUAAAAUUGUCUUUAAAUUGUAACACCCUUUUUAUUCUUACAUGACUACAGGAAAACUGAUACUCGCCACAACUCCUGCUAUUCGAUUUUACUGUGACAGCACUAUUGAUCUCAUACAAAGCUUCAUCCGGAGAAACAAAGUUAGUAAUCACUCAUGAAGUGGUCAUCUAAACUUUGAGCUGAAGUCUACUACAAUAAUUCUCUCUAUAUUCUUGAUCUCUUAAAAAAAAUAUUUCACUUUCUAUCAAUCAAAGUUUUAUUAAACUUUCAUUUCCAAAAUUUUUUCAUGUUCUGAAUUUUUUGGGUUAUUAGAUAUUAAAAACUACAACAUUAAACCAAUACUUACAUUAACUUUUUUUUUGUAUUGUUUGCAACAUUUUUUCAUGAUUAGAAUUUCUAGAUUUGACAAUCUCAAUAGCAGAGAUAGAAGCAAUUUCCAGCAGAUAUAUGGAGUUCCAUGAGUUCUACGACCACCAAAAGAUAAGCCUAUAAGAUUGUUGAACACUGUAGUUUCACAACAACACUAAUAGAGAGUCAGGAACACACACACAAACCAUAUUUAACUUUUAUGCACCAUAAUAAGCAUACAUGUUGUGAUUGGAAACAAUUAAAUAUUUGACCACCAAAUAAUUCUGUCCUCAGCCCAUGAAGCUGUUUUAAAAGUUAAAACCCAACACAAUACUUCUUCUAGAUUUUUUAAGAAAUCACGACUCACAAAAUCUUCUAAGGAUACGUGGUUACUAAUUUUGUAAGGAAUCUUUAUAUAAAAUCCCAUAUUUACGAAAAAUCUUCAUCUGAAAAGGAAGGUAAUAUAUUUCAUUAAACCAACAUUUACAAUCUUUGACUAUAUCCUUUCAAAGGGAAAAGAAAUUUUUUUAAAAAAAUCAAACUCUCCCAAAAACUCAUAUUUCUCUUGCGUAGAAAAUAAAAAAUCUUAAAAAAUCCAUCUCUCCCAAAAAACUCAUAUGUCCCUUCGAUACGUCCAAGAAAUGUUCCCGUUUCCAAAGUAUCCUAAUACAUAUACCUAAUUUGUAAUAGAUUGGUUGUAAGGAUCGAUGUUUCAACGGAAUGGAUAACCCACCCAAUGACCAACCCAUAGAUACUGCAGGUAAAUAUAUAAUCUCUUGCCUCUCUCUCUCAGAAAAAGAAAAAAUUUGAAGGGUCCAGCAAUUUUUUUGUUUUUUUUUGGGGUUUCAGUUUCUUUUUGGUCAAAGAAUUGGAAUAUCCAAUCCAAAUUAAACCAUAAUUUAGUUUCAGUUAGCGAUUCUGCUCAUUCACCACAUAAAGUUUGCAAAGUAAAUUUUCAACUCAAAAUCCUUCAUAUAAGAAUGUGCCAAAAGAAUAUAAAAAUAUAAAUAUGAAAAGAAUUGAAGAUCAUAAUACCUAAAAGCUGAAUAUAAUUAAACAUAUAGAAAAAAAGAUGGCCCAAAAAUGAUUGGAAACAUAAAUGACAAAAUUUACAUUAUACAAAGAUAAACUUCUAAAUCGAGAAUAAAAAUAUAAUAAGAAGGAGGCUACAUCUAACUACAAAGACAAUAGAAAACAUGCAAUUAAACAGAAGGUUUAAGAAAUUAAAUUCUAUUGUAAAUACACAUUUGUGAGAGUAAUUAUAUAGGAUGAAAGAAUAAUUUUUUAUAAAAUUAUUGAACAUUAGCAAGUGGAAAAGAAAAUCAUGUAGGAACAAAGAACAUUAAUCCUAAAAUAUAUAAAUAUUUAAAUUAACAACCAUAUACGAUAUGUUAAAUAAUAUAAGCUAACUGCAAAUUAUCGUAGAUUAUCAUCUAAAAUUAAAAUAUUUAAAAGCAUUUUCCGCGCGUAGCGCGGUCAAAGGCUCUAGUAGCCAUUAAUAUUUGAUGAUAUGCUUAUCUUGAGUCAAAAAUAAUGGGCAAGAUAUUUUAAUGUCAUUUUUUAGGACAUGAUUAAGAUAUUCAUUGGAUAAAUAUGCGCCUUUAACAUGAUCAUAUAUACAUAUCUGGUUACUCUUAUUUGCAGCGGUAUACUGAAUCAAACACAAUAAAAAACAUUUCCAACAAGACAAGAUUUGACCUAUUUGAUUUUCUCUUUUGGAUGGCUGAUCUCUUUUUUGAUGGUAUAUAUGAUUUUAAGCCUAUAACAAAUUAUGCUUUUUUAUUUAUAUGGCUUCUCUUUAUCAGCCCAUCUUCAUGCAUUUUCCACGAAGAAGUGAAAAAUAUUUUUAAGAGCCUAUCUUGCCCAUAUUUCCAUGCUCACCUAGUUUCAAAAUAUUCCAACAGUCAUUUAUUCAUGAAAACUUAUGUGUUUUAGAAUAUAAAGUCGAAAACUUUUAACAAUGUAUCUAAUGGAUAACCAGACAACAUAACCAAUAACCAGUGUCAGUAAUGUGUAGAUUAUACACUCAUUAAAUAAUCGGGAUAUCAUCUUCAAUAACCAUCUUCAGUAUAUAUUAGCGAUUUUUCUGUGAUUUUCUAUAGCUUCUAACUAACAUAGUGGAUUACAAAUGACAUCGUGGAUAUUAAAUGUGGCAUCCAAUAUUUUAAUUAUGAAAAAAAAGAUCAUAAUUUUAAGAAAAACAAGGAAUAAAGGACAAAAGCCAUAUAUCCAUUUAGGUGAAGUAUUAUAUAUAACACCAAUUUGAAAAUUAAAAACAAGAAAACAACAUUUUCAUAUGUAUGGAAUAUUGGCUACAUGUAGAAAUGAUUAGAGAUAAUGAUUGUUAUACAAUAUUAACUAUAUAGCCAAAAAAUUAAAUGUGUUAGUUGUAGUAUAUAGUCUUUUUUAGAUUAUUCACAUGAGAUUCUUUAUUAAAUAUGCAGACCACUGAUUAGUGUUUGCUAGAACAGAUCUCCAUACCUAUCACUAGAUCUUGCAUAAAUUUGGUUCCUUACCACAUACUAAAUUCUCCCUCGCGAAAACUCUUUCCAUGUACAAGUUCUUCGGUGUUACCACCGUAUUGUCGAUAUACUGAACUGUUAGAUCCAGAGAAGGUAGAUCUACCAUCGUCGUCACACAGAUCUGGUUUAUUUCCGCUGUCUAGUUUUUCCCAUCAUUUUUUGUGUUAUUUUAAAAAACAAUAACAAAAAUUGAGAAACAUUAAGAAAGAGGAGAUAGCACAUCACUUUAUGUGAACUGUGCACUUGAUUGACCUCAAAACUUCAAAAUGACAUAAAGAUUGAAUGAAUAUAAAAAACAAAAAGUACUUAAGAAAUGAGUGUGAAGACGAAGAUGAGACUGAUUAUGCUGGAGAACAUAUACAGAAAAUAUGAUAACAACAAAUGCACAUGCAGUAUGAUCAUGUAUGCAUAACGACUAACAUCUAUUCAUGUGAAUAAAUUUGGCAUAAUAAGGAUAAGCUCGACAUUAUUUCUUAUACAUUUCUCUUGAAAAGUAGAUUUUUGUAGAUUUCAUUUCAUCUCAUUGAUAUUGAAAGCAAUUACUAUUUAAAUUAUGAUAAAAUAAUUUAAAAUAAAAUGAGAGUAACACUGGAUAAUUAAUACAUAAAAAACGCUGGAUAAAUAUGAUAAAAUAAUUUGGCAUAAUAUUGGCAUAAUAAGGGUAAGCUCGACAUUAUUUCUUAUACAUUUCUCUUGAAAAGUAGAUUUCAUUUCAUCUCAUUGAUACUGAAAGCAAUUACUAUUUAAAUUAUGAUAAAAUAAUUUAAAAUAAAAUGAGAGUAACACUGGAUAAUUAAUACAUAAAAAACGCUGGAUAAAUAUGUACCCUGUAUAAUACAUGUACACAAUUAUCCAUAAAAGAAAAACAAACAAACUCUUACUUAUACUGAUUAUACUUCCAUCUUGAACGAAGAACAACUCCAAAAAAAUAGGCAAUGCCUCGAGUUGAAAAUCACUUCUUCUUUUUUUUGAAAAAUCACUUUCAUUCAAUAAUAUAUACUAUAUUACCCUUCUUAUUUAUUUCUUUUUAUUAGUUUUUGCUUAUUUCUUUUCCUUUCAAUCUUAUUUCUUAAUAAAUUGUAAACUAUAUAAUAAAUUAUUUUUUAAAUUCAACUGAAAGAGUAGAAUAAUUUUGAUACAUAUAUAUGAUUUGAAUUUUUUGAAUCAGAUAAAUUUUAAUAUAUAUAUAAAUACAAUAAUAAUUAUUUUGUCAUACUGUGUUGAACAUAUUGUCAUUCUAUCGUAUAUGUUAAUAUUUUCUCAACGGUCAUAUAUUUUUUCAGUUAUAUGUUAUGUUGUCUAUCUAUAUUAUCUUACUAGUUCUAUACUAUUUUCUGAUUUUUAUAACAAAUCUAAUUAUAAAAAAUAUAAACCAAAUUUCCAGUUGAUAAAAUAUAUAUGUAAAUGAUUUUGUUUGUUUUAUGAUUUUAAAAAAAAUUAAUGUACUAUUUUUUAAAAAUAUUAAACAACUUGUAUUUGUUCAAAACAAAACUAUUUGUUUACAAAAAUUUAGUCCUUUCUUGCUCGCAGGCCCUGAGGAAGUGCACACUUUGUCCACUCUUGUGAACCGGCCCUGAUAAUAUUAUGUAUAUACCAUAUUGAGAAAGUAGAAUAAUAGUUAAAUUGUAUUAUAAUCUUGUUUUUAUAAUGAGAAAGAUAAAAAAAAUGAAAAAACAGUAAUUUAGUUAUUUUUCCAUGAUAAGCGGCUAACAGUGCCGGCUCAACCACAAGAUCGGGCAGUGCAACUGCCCCGGGCCCAUGAUAUUAGGAUUCAGUUUUAUUUAAAGAAAUUGUUUUUUUCAAAGAAAAAACAAAUUUUGUUAAAAAGAAAAAUAAAUUUACAUGUAUUUCUAAAUUUUUUUUAUAUGCUUUCAUACUAAAUUCAAUAACAUUUUAAAUAAUAUACUUUUUAAAAAAAUUAAACAAAAAUCAUAUUUUUAACUUUUAAAGAGUCUAAAUCUUCUUUUUUUUUUGCCUAAGAACCCUUAUAAACCAUGAGACGGCCCUGGUGGCUAAGUGCUAUAUUCUUCAUGAUUAUUGAGAACUUGAUUAGUUCACAAAUUCAUCCAUGAAAAAUAGUAUUUUACUAGAUCUCAAUCCGCGCAACCGCGCGGAUGUUUGCUUUUAAUUUUAUAUAAGUAGAUAUUUAUUUUAGAUCAUUAGGGGUAUACUGUUUAAAAAGUUAAUUAUAUAUUCAAAUGUUCAUAUAACUGUUUCAGAUACAAUAAUUUAAUAAUUUUAUAGUUUAUAUGUUGUAGUUAAUCAAUCAUUUCAAACCGUCAUAUGUAUUUGUUACUUCUUAUUAUAUAUUUAUUUUAUUGUAUUUGCGUUUAGUUAUUAAACAAUUAAUAUAUGCAUGAAACAACAUAUUUGACAAUUAAUUUUUUAUUUUAAUUUAUGCUAAAUUCUUACCCGUCUUUCAAAGCUGGAUAUUCUUUUAGCAAUAUUUUUUACUUUUAUUUAUUUUUGAUAAUAUAUUAUUGUAUAUAGAAAAAUCUUAAUUUUAUACAUGUAUUAAAUAUUUUCCUAAUAUUAAGUCAUUGUGUCGUCAUAUUAUAUUUUUAACAGGAAUAUUUUAUAUUUAAAAAAGUUUUAGUUCAAUAUAAUAAUUGUUUUUAGAUAAUUGAAUAUAUAUUAAUACAUGCUAAUUAAAAAAUUAGUGAAAAUAUUUACAUAAAAUUUUGAAUAUUAAAAUAUUUAUCAACAGAUUUGUUAGAAUACAUUUUAAAUAUAUAUAUUGUUGAAUGAAAAUAUAUCAUGAUUAAAGUAGUUACGAAUAUUUAUGUUAUUAGCUUUAAUGAAACACAUGUUAAUUUUUAUACAUUGUAUUAUAUAGUUUGUUAAUGUUAAACCGUCUUACCAAUGUAUUAUAUUCUUGAACAUAAAUAUUUAUAGUUAUGAUUGAUUAUGAUUAUAUAAGAGAUAAAAAUAAGAUAUAGUUUUUAUUUUUUUCGUUUUAUAAACAAUAACUGAAUAUACUAAUGUAUAAUAAUGUUUCAAAUUUAAUUUUUGAAAACUAAGAUCUUGUUAAAAUCUUUUCAUACAUAUUUGUUAGAUUUUUUAAUAUAUAUUUUUAUAUUUAAAAUGAAAAUAUAUUAUGAUUAAAGUAGUUCAAAGAUUCUAUGUGCUAUUAGUUUUAAUAAAAUACAUUUAUGAGGGGUUAUUGGGAAGGAAUUUUAAAAUUUAGAGAUUUCAUUGUUAUUGGUUAAUGAAUUCUUAAAAUUUUAUUAGAAUCCUUUGUUAUUGGUUUGUGGACUUUUAAAUUUUAUGGAAAUCCUAUGUUAUUCAAAAAGUUUAGUUUUUAUUGACUUUGCAAUUUUAUUAAACUCUUUUGUUAUUGGGACAUAAAUUUUCUCUAGUUUUACUCAUAACACUCAACUUUACAAAUAUCACAUAUAGUCAUAGGAUUCUCAAAAUCUAUGUACCAAAAACACAAAAACACAAACACAACAAGAUUUUUUACAUUUUUAUUGUCAAGUCAAAGAUAAUUGUAAAAAGAAAACUAAAGAUAAAAGAAAUUUAUAAAAAUAGCACUUUAAAAAAAAAUCUUUCAUGAAAUAUAACUAUUUGAUAUUAAAAUAAAAUCAUGAGAAAAUUCAUAGGUUGAUCUUAAAAGCUUUAAAACCAAAAUAAAAAAAGACAAAUCAAAAUGUCAAAAUAUUAAAAAACCAAAAAUUUAAUUUAAUUUUCAAAA
Molecule: long non-coding RNA, 13725 nt
Organism: Brassica rapa (field mustard)
Lineage: Eukaryota; Viridiplantae; Streptophyta; Magnoliopsida; Brassicales; Brassicaceae
Source: RefSeq, a predicted model, not a curated record